Acanthosepion pharaonis is the source of this 112-nucleotide non-coding RNA. NCBI's taxonomy places the organism in Eukaryota, Metazoa, Mollusca, Cephalopoda, Sepiida, Sepiidae. The record is from the annotation of a GenBank genome assembly.
UCCGGCCAUAUCACUUUGAACAACCAGUUCUGCAUGACCACUGAAGUUAAGUAACGUCGAGCCUGGUCAGUAUUUAGAAGGGUGUCCGCUUGGGAAUAUCAGGUGCUGUAAG